AUCUAUGGCCAUGCUACCCUGAGCAAGCCCAAUCCCGUGUGAUCUUGGAAGCUAAGCAGGGUUGGGCCUGGUUAGUACUUGGAUGGGAGACCAUCUAGGAAGGGAAUGUAAGCUGACAAGGUC
Ribosomal RNA from Pteropus vampyrus (large flying fox), 123 nucleotides. The record is from Ensembl. Lineage: Eukaryota; Metazoa; Chordata; Mammalia; Chiroptera; Pteropodidae.